RNAcentral lists this ribosomal RNA (398 nucleotides) under Ischnoceros rusticus. Its description in RNAcentral is "partial 16S ribosomal RNA". The record is from RNAcentral. Lineage: Eukaryota; Metazoa; Arthropoda; Insecta; Hymenoptera; Ichneumonidae.
GUCUGAUCUGCUCCAUGAAUUUAAUUUAAAUAGCUGCGGUNNNUUGACUGUACAAAGGUAGCAUAAUCAAUAGUUUUUUAAUUGAAAGCUGGAAUGAAUGAUUUGAUGAAAUAAUAACUGUCUCAAUUUUAUUUUAAUAGAAAUUUUUUUUUAGUUAAAAAGCUAAAAUUUUUUUAAAAGACGAGAAGACCCUAUAGAUUUUUUAAAAAAUUAAUUUAUUUAAAUUAUUUUUUAUUUGAUUGGGGUGAUUAUUUAAUUUAAUAAACUUAAAUGUUUUUAAACAAUAAUAUUUGUAUAUUUGAUCCUUAUUUUAAGAUUANNNNNNNAAAAUACCUUANGGAUAACNGCGUAAUUUUUUUGGAGAGAUCAUAUUGAUAAAAAAGUUUGCGACCUCGAUG